Molecule: long non-coding RNA, 1258 nt
Filed under: Citrus maxima (pomelo)
Lineage: Eukaryota; Viridiplantae; Streptophyta; Magnoliopsida; Sapindales; Rutaceae
Description: long non-coding RNA (CMAX_LNC000438)
Source: RNAcentral
GCAGAAGAAAAAUACAAAGCAACAUAACCAAAAGCACAAAAUUAUAAUUUCAAGUUAUUAUUAUUAUUAUUUUGAAAAAGAAAAUGCGUUUCUUUCUCUGGAGAACCAGAAAACCUUGUGCCUGACAGUUACAUAUAAAACCUAUACUAAAAUCAUAAAGAAACUCUAUGCUUGGUGCAAUUCCAUGUGAGUGAUCUUUUUUUUUUUUUCCAUUACAUCUCUUCUCUAACAAGUCAUGCAAGUUUCAUCAGUUGACUAUCUGGAAAAUAAGUAUUAUACUUCAUAUACAAACUGUUGUGAUAAAUCCAGCCAUAUUUCUUAGUUUUCAACAAAACUAAACUAAGGUGGCGUUUGUUUUUUUGUCUGAAAUCUGAAUAGACCUGAAUUAGUCUGAAUUCUGAAUAGGUCUGAAUGUCUGAAUCUGAAUAAUAUGUUUGUUUUUUCGACUGAAUCUCGAAAAAAAAAAUAUUAAGUUGUUUGUUUUUUUCAACUUAAAAUGCUGAAAAUAUGUACUUUUACAUUUGUAUCCUUAUUAAAUUUGAAUGUCAAAUAAAUAAUAUAUUAAAUACCAUAAUAUUUUAACAUUUAUAAGUAAAACUAUAUUCAAGUGAAUACAUAAUUAUUUUAGAAUUUUAAUAUAUAAAAUACCAUAAAUUUCAAAUUUUAUCAUAUAUAAUAUAAGAAAGAAAAAACAGGGAUGUUUUUAUGUGGGGUAAAUAUCUAUAGGUGAGUUUUGGGAUAGACAUGAAAAAUAAAUUAUAAAACAGGGAUAUUUUUGACAUUAGCAAGUAAUUGACUUAAUUCAGAUCUCUCCAUUAAGUAAAAAGCCAAAAAAAUUAGCUUAUUUUAUUAAGUCAAAAUUAUGUAAAAAGUCUCAUUAAGUUAUAAAAACAAACGCUUCUAAUUAACUUAAUUAAUUAAGUUAAGUCACUUUAAGUCAUUAAGUUAAAAAACAAACGCCACCUAAGAACUUAUACUUAGUUUUCAACAAAACAAAACUAAGAACUUAUUGAAACAAAAUUUACUAACAUUGCCCACAUUUGUUCUGAGUUUUUUAAAAGCAAUUCUACUAAGAAUUACAACCUCUUGAAAAGAACAAGGGUAGGCGGCUACUCUUUUGCUGCCAAAUGACUGGUAUAAGAGAAAAAGACGUUUACAGCAUUACAAGCAUUAAGAUGGAUAUGCAUAGCACAUAAACAGAUUUAGGCAAAAAAUUAAACAAGUAUAUUUCAAAGAUUUAAAUAAAAAAGCCUCACAA